GGAGGGGGCGAGCGUUGUUCGGAAUCAUUGGGCGUAAAGGGCGCGUAGGCGGCCGUCCAAGUCGGGUGUGAAAUCCCUCGGCUCAACCGAGGAACUGCACUCGAUACUGGUCGGCUAGAGUCCGGGAGGGGAUGGUGGAAUUCCCAGUGUAGCGGUGAAAUGCGUAGAUAUUGGGAAGAACACCGGUGGCGAAGGCGGCCAUCUGGACCGGAACUGACGCUGAGGCGCGAAAGCCAGGGGAGCGAAUGGGAUUAGAUACCCCGGUAGUCCUGGCUGUAAACGAUGGGCACUUGGUGUGGCGGGUACUGACCCCCGCCGUGCCGAAGCUAACGCGUUAAGUGCCCCGCCUGGGGAGUACGGUCGCAAGGCUG
This 371-nucleotide ribosomal RNA is filed under the name uncultured bacterium. RNAcentral's name for it is "bacterial SSU rRNA". It matches the Rfam family "Bacterial small subunit ribosomal RNA", at positions 527 to 896 of the family's 1533-position model. The record is from RNAcentral.